This 372-nucleotide ribosomal RNA is filed under the name uncultured organism. RNAcentral describes it as "partial 16S ribosomal RNA". It matches the Rfam family "Bacterial small subunit ribosomal RNA", at positions 527 to 896 of the family's 1533-position model. The record is from RNAcentral.
GUAGGUGGCAAGCGUUGUCCGGAAUUAUAGGGCGUAAAGCGCGCGCAGGCGGUCCUUUAAGUCUGAUGUGAAAGCCCACGGCUCAACCGUGGAGGGUCAUUGGAAACUGGGGGACUUGAGUACAGAAGAGGAAAGCGGAAUUCCAAGUGUAGCGGUGAAAUGCGUAGAGAUUUGGAGGAACACCAGUGGCGAAGGCGGCUUUCUGGUCUGUAACUGACGCUGAGGCGCGAAAGCGUGGGGAGCAAACAGGGAUUAGAUACCCUGGUAGUCCACGCCGUAAACGAUGAGUGCUAAGUGUUAGGGGGUUUCCCGCCCCUUAGUGCUGCAGCUAACGCAUUAAGCACUCCGCCUGGGGAUACGGCCGCAAGGCUG